Molecule: long non-coding RNA, 570 nt
Filed under: Elaeis guineensis (African oil palm)
Lineage: Eukaryota; Viridiplantae; Streptophyta; Magnoliopsida; Arecales; Arecaceae
Description: long non-coding RNA (EGUI_LNC074857)
Source: RNAcentral
UCUAAAGUACUAGAGUUUACUGUGUGGUAUGUGUGGUGCAGAACGAUGCGAGGUGGCUACAUAAGAGCUCUCUCCUCGAUUGUGAUGGCUUCGACCUUUGUAAGACAUGAUCUAUAAUCUUUAAAAAUAAAAAUAAAUAGAUUCAUGGAUUAAUUAUAUAAAUUAUAAUAUAGUAAUGUAAGAUUUAAAAUGAUGUAAGAUAAGUAUUUAAAAUGAUUCAAGAUAAUGCAAGAAAUAAAAUGAUACCAGAAGGUCGGGAGAAUAUAAGCGACCGGAGGUGGUGUUCCUACGGUUGACUACUUCUAUCAUGAGGAGAGGUGGGGUCGACUCCUACUUUCCUAGGGUUGACUACUCAUCUUCCUCUUCUGAUGUUGGGUACCUUUCGGAUUCUUCUUUCGAUUCCUUUUCUUCCUCCUCUUCUUCUACUUCUUCCUCUUCUUUCUCUUUUUCACCUUCUCAGAUCGGAUAAUCUUUAAAAACAAACUCAGUAUGAUCUACCUCCUCAUAUUAGCCAUCAUGUAGAAAAAUUUUUGGAGCAUCCAACUCUGCAUCUAUUAAAUGUUGAUGAAC